RNAcentral lists this unclassified non-coding RNA (2221 nucleotides) under Hevea brasiliensis (rubber tree). Lineage: Eukaryota; Viridiplantae; Streptophyta; Magnoliopsida; Malpighiales; Euphorbiaceae. The record is from RNAcentral.
AAACUUACUGGGGGAACAAAACGAGACGUUUCAGUGUUCUGCCUCCGCAGUCCUCUACGAGUCUCCUCGUCUAGCGAUCAUUCCUACACGGUAGUGGAGAGAGCGAGGGAAAUGAGCACUGGUGGCGGUAGCCAAGACGGAGAAGAUUUAUGGGCAACAGUCGCAAGAGCAGCGGAUGAUCUCUAUGCUCUUCGGGACACCUAUUUCCCGUCAAAUCCGCUUGACAAAAUCUCGAAAUUGCAAACACAAUCCGAUCUCUCUCUCAGCCUCCUUGAUUCCAUUCCUAUCGAACAAAGGAAAUCAUCCAUACAACGUGCAACAUAUGAGUAUUUAAGAGGAAAGAUACUGGAUGUAUUACCUGAGUAUAGGAAAGAAGCAGAGGACCAUCUCUCAAAAGCUGUCAAGUUGAAUCCAUCUCUUGCUGAUGCUUGGCUGUGUUUGGGUAACUGCAUUUGGAAGAAGGGAGAUCUAUCCUCAGCAAAGAAUUGUUUCAAUCUUGCACUGAGCAAGGGUCCAAACAAGAAGAUACUUUGCCUUUUAUCCAUGCUUGAAAGAAGAAUGGCACAAGGUGCUGAAAAUCAGGCUAAACUUGUCGAGGAAAGCAUUCAACAUGCCAAGAAUGCUAUCUCUUUAGAUGUGAAGGAUGGGUACUCUUGGUUUAAUCACAUUGACAGACAACCUAGGAAAUGCAUUCUUGACAAGUUUUUUCAUGACUGGAGCAUGGGAUCAUAGCAAGCUUCUACAAGCUUUAAAAGCGUACCAGAAUGCGGAGAAAGAUGAGGGAAUGAAGUCCAAUCCAGACCUUUAUUUUAACUCAGCUACAGUCAACAAAUACUUAGAGAAUUAUGAGAGGGCUCUUAGUGGAUUUGAAGCUGCUGCCUUGAAGGAUCCUAGUCUCAAUGCUACCGAGGAGGUUCAAAAGAUGGUUAAUCUUCUGGAUAAGUUAGAGAAUUUGUUGCGGGGACAAGCUAGAGCUAAACGACUUGCAUCUAUGGCUUCAUCUUUGGCAGCUGUUAAUUGUAAGCUACCUCAUUCUUAUGUUUUAAAGUUAAUAGUCAAAUUUGAGUUCUGAUUGUAUCUUUCUAAUCUUAAAGGGAGUGUACUAAUGAUUGUGCAUCAUCUUCAUCUGUAAGUUAAUUCAUCAUAUAAAAGAAUCACUGUUGAUCUGUUGUUGGAUGGCCUCAACAAAGCAGUAGCCGUAGCAGGGAAAGUUCUUCUUUUUGUUAAGCAUGAUAAUGUCACUCCCCUGUAAGUCCUCCGCUGAAACCUUUUGGUUAUUUUUUUCCUAUCCAAAUGAACCCAAUGUAAGCUCCAGCUACUUGUGCUUUCAACUUGUAUUUUUUGUCUAUAAAACUUCUUUAGAUUGGCUGUUAUAGCAUGAACUCAAUGUGAAUGCCUUCAUGGUAAUGCCCGCACAUGUUUAUGUAAGAACAGUGGUUUUGGCAUGCGUAGCUUUAUCACCAAGGGAAUCCUUACUUAUUACUUAGGUCUGGUUCAUAUCUCUGGUGUGGCCAACUAACAUUGUGAGGACCAGCUCAUUAAAUAGUUUAAAUAUUACCAAACUGAUACAUAAUUCUUACUUUGUGAAUCUUGGUAAUGUAAAUCUUGUUGAAAUAAAUAAAUUGAUAUUCUCUUUUUCUUUUCAUUUUUUUCCCAGAUACUAUUUGGUGUGUGACUCAAAUCAAAUAUGCUUUGUUCUAUCUGUGUAUGGCAUAAGCAAUGAUGCGAUUAAAGAAGGAGAUCAGCUAACACUAUUGGAGCCUCAUUAUCAUUUUGUUGAUUUUGCUUGGAAGGAAAAGCAUUACCAUUUCAAAUCAAUUCGCGUGGAUUUCAUAGAGCAAGUUCUUGUGAAUGGGAAAGCUCUGUUGCCGAAUCAGGCAGUUCGAUCAUCAAUUUAUGCUCAACAUAAGCCAUGAAAAGUUGUUUCAAGUAUAUUGAGAGUUUUGUACUUAAAAGUGGAGUUUUGUUGAUCUUUUCAUUGAUUUGUUUGAUGUGUUGUUGUAAAUAGAUUAGUGGAUAGAGAAGCAAAAAGAAAUGCAUGAGUAUAGAUUCUUGCUCAAGUUAAAUUCAAAUUGUCCAACUGAAAAAAAAAAAAGGGAUUCAAACACCGUAUUGAGAUCUUCAUGCGUUUGUUUAUGGUUUAUUGGGUUCUUACUGUGCUUAUUGUUCUACACAGUAAUUGAAGAUUUCAUGCUAAAUUUGCAUUUGCUUAUUGUUCCAG